This 253-nucleotide ribosomal RNA is filed under the name uncultured bacterium. RNAcentral's name for it is "partial 16S ribosomal RNA". It matches the Rfam family "Bacterial small subunit ribosomal RNA", at positions 524 to 776 of the family's 1533-position model. The record is from RNAcentral.
UACGGAGGGUGCAAGCGUUAUCCGGAUUUACUGGGUUUAAAGGGGGCGUAGGCGGGCAUGUAAGGCAGUGGUGAAAUACCGGAGCUUAACUUCGGAACUGCCAUUGAUACUAUAUGUCUUGAAUAUUGUGGAGGUAAGCGGAAUAUGUCAUGUAGCGGUGAAAUGCAUAGAUAUGACAUAGAACACCGAUUGCGGAGGCAGCUUGCUACGCAAAUAUUGACGCUGAGGCACGAAAGCGUGGGGAGCAAACCGG